CCAACGUGCAUGGCUCUAGUACGGCGAGUGAAGCAGCCAAAGCUCAAAUUUGAAAGCUCCUAACAAGGCGCAUUGUAAUUUGAAGAUGGUAUUCCGAGUUAGUCCUUUACCUCAGUUCCUUGGAACAGGACGCCAUAGAGGGUGAGAGCCCCGUGUGGUAUUGGUAGCUUUCUCAUGUGGUUUACCUUCGAAGAGUCGAGUUGUUUGGGAAUGCAGCUCUAAGUGGGUGGUAAAUUCCAUCUAAAGCUAAAUAUUGGCGAGAGACCGAUAGCGAACAAGUACUGUGAAGGAAAGAUGAAAAGAACUUUGAAAAGAGAGUGAAAAAGUACGUGAAAUUGUUGAAAGGGAAGGGAAUUGGACUAGACUUGGAUUUCUGUUAUCAGCAGUCUUUCGGGGCUGUGCACUAGCAGUUUUCUAGGCCAGGAUCUGUUUGGAGGCCAGGAUAAAACCCAAAGAAUGUGGCUCUUCGGAGUGUUAUAGCUUUGGUUGAAUACUGGCAUUCUGGACAGAGGACCGCGCU
Molecule: ribosomal RNA, 520 nt
Filed under: Tardiomyces blankii
Lineage: Eukaryota; Fungi; Ascomycota; Dipodascomycetes; Dipodascales; Trichomonascaceae
Description: [Candida] blankii partial 26S ribosomal RNA
Rfam family: Eukaryotic large subunit ribosomal RNA
Source: RNAcentral